GCCUGGCUGGCUCAGUCAGUAGAGCGUGAGACUCUUGAUCUCGGGCUAGUGAAUUCAAGCCCCACACUGGGCA
RNAcentral lists this transfer RNA (73 nucleotides) under Ailuropoda melanoleuca (giant panda). It matches the Rfam family "tRNA". From Rfam's summary of the family: Transfer RNA (tRNA) molecules are approximately 80 nucleotides in length. Their secondary structure includes four short double-helical elements and three loops (D, anti-codon, and T loops). The record is from Rfam by way of RNAcentral. Lineage: Eukaryota; Metazoa; Chordata; Mammalia; Carnivora; Ursidae.